Molecule: transfer RNA, 56 nt
Filed under: Boodlea composita
Lineage: Eukaryota; Viridiplantae; Chlorophyta; Ulvophyceae; Cladophorales; Boodleaceae
Description: tRNA-Gln
Source: RNAcentral
AAAAAAAAUGUUGGGGGGAAAACCCCCAUCUUUGUGUUGGGGGGCUUUUUUUUUUU